Long non-coding RNA from Myotis daubentonii (Daubenton's bat), 2994 nucleotides. RefSeq lists it as uncharacterized. NCBI's taxonomy places the organism in Eukaryota, Metazoa, Chordata, Mammalia, Chiroptera, Vespertilionidae. The record is from RefSeq and is a predicted model, not a curated record. The transcript has 2 exons.
CGGGCUGGUCCUGGUUAGGAAUAGCACCACUUUUGAUAAUUCUCCCCAAACUCCCUAAAAAAUGUGGAUUCAGGUACAUUAACCCUUUGAGUGCCAACCAAUAUCCUAGGGACUAUGCUAAAAUUGCCAAGGCAUUUUUGCUGAUUUUACAGCAGUUUAGGAAAAAAAUUAUGAAUCGCCAGUAAAUGAAGUUACAUAUUCAAAAACUUAAGGAAACCUUUACUACAUUGACAUAUUUAGCAAUAUCAUCAUCACUAAUAAAAGCAGACUUAGAACUGGACGCCAUUUCGAAGCUUUGAUAGCACUCCCGGCACUUUUGGCGAAAGACAUGAGGAGCGUGAUCGAGCUCCCGGGCACUCUAAGGGUUAAAGUGGGUGAAAUAGAAUUUUCCUUCAGUUUUGGUGUGAAAGAAUAUUCCUGCAAGAAUGUUGUGAAGUGAAGGCACAUAAAAGCUAAAUGGAACAUGUUGUUCACAAAUCCAGAGCAUUCUUUACUCAAGUAAUUUCCUUUGCCAGUUGAUGUUUAAAUAGGGAAAAUGGAAAAUUAUUUAUAACUUCAUGUCCUGUACUUCAUUUUUUAUUUUGUUGAAUAAUUUUUGAUUAUUUUUCUCCCUGAAAGUUUGGUCUGAUGAGAAUGACUAUUUUACCUUCAAAAAACCACUAUCUAUAUUGAAUACCCUUUUCCUCAGAACUUUGUAGACUUUGCUCCAUUGACUUCACCACCCAGAAUUAUAAACACACCCACUACAAUUUUGACUCUUUACUCCUUUUUUAAAAAAUAUUUUUUUAUUGACUUCAGAGAGGAAGUGAGAGGGAGAGAGAAAUAGAAACAUCAAUGAUGAGAGAGAUCAUUGAUUGGCUGUUUCCUGCAAGUCCUACACGGGAGAUCAAGCCAGCAAUUCGGGCAUGUGCCCUGACUGGGAAUCGAACCGUGACCUCCUCCUGGUUCAUAGGUUGAUACUCAACCACUGAGCCACACUGGCUGGGCAACUCACUUCUCUGUAGUCAACCUGUUUUCUCUCUUUGAAAGGUUGUAGGAUCCUCUGUCUUUGGACUUAAGAAAUAACAUCAGAUAUAUUCCUGCUUGAUAGUUGAUAAGGGACAGUCUUAGUCUGGUGUCUUCCAAUAAUGGGAAUUUUUUUCCCCACCCCAUUCUCUCCUCUGGAACACCUCACCUGUUAAAUGUAUUGUAACUUUCUUGGAUCUUUCACAUAUUAUUUCAAUUAUUCUUUAACGUUUUCUAUUUUUUUGUUCCUGAAGGCGGCCAUGGCCUAUUUUGCCAAAUCAGCAAUCUGUGUUACAUCUCUCCAAAUUAAAGAUUAGCACCUCCAUGAAUUUUUAUAUUGUGGAGAUCACAUUUUUUUCUCAUAACUGUUUCAUAACAGCCCGUUCUUGUUUUAUGGUUGCAGUAUCUUCUUGAAAACAUUGGUACUAAUUAGAAUUUUUAAAGUCUCUGUUUUUUUGCCUUCAUUUCCUCAGUUGUUAAUUACUGUGUGUUUCUUUUUCUGGUACUUCUCUUUCAUGCUAUUUUUUCCCCUCAUGAUUGAUGAUUUUGGGAUGUUUAUUCAGAAUCAUAAUAAAUGAGAUUGGUCAUUAUUGGUAAACUAGAGGCCUGGUGCACCAAUUCGUGCACAGGUGGGGCACCUUUGGGUGACCUGCAGGGAUUGAGCCAAAACCCAGUCCAAUGCCACCUGCAGCUCCUACCUGCUGCUCCCUACUCAUGCCGCAGUCUCGCACCCAAUCAGUCCCGAUUGGGAAAGGCUCAUGCUGCUGCUGCAGCAGCGUUCGUAACCGUGAGCCCUGCAUCUGGCGCCCUCCCAAGGGGAUCAGGCUGAAACCAGCUCUCUGACAUCCCCCGAGGGGUCCCGGCUUGCAAGAAGGUGCAGGCCAGUCCAAGGGGCCCCACUGGUGUGCGAUCGGGCCUGGGAGGGACCAUGGGAGGGCUCCAGGGAGUGUCCGGCCCAUCUCGCCCAGUCCCGAUCAGCUGGACCCCAGCAGCAAGCUAACCUACCAGUUGGAGCAUCUGCCCCCUGGUGAUCAGUGCAUGUCAUAGCUAGUGGUCAACCAGUCAACUGCCCCCCUGGUGGUCAGUGCAUGUCAUAGCGAAUGGUUGAGCGGCCUUAGCAUAUCAUUAGCAUAUUAUGUUUUGAUUGGUUAAACAGUCAAUUAGUCACCGGAUGACCAGACACUUAGCAUAUUAUGCUUUUAUUAUAUAGGAUUAUAUAGGAUGGUAAGGUUUUUCUAACAGUUGUGAAGGUCUCUGUUAUACCUGCAGGCUAUUCUGCCUGGGAGAGUGGGUGGGUCGUGCUGACAGAAAAAAGCCCUUGAUGGCCAAAGUAGGGGAAAGGCACUUUCCUCGAGCUAUGUAUUUUCUUAAGCUCAGUUAUACCCCCAAACUCUAAUGGGAAGUCUGGUUCUGUUUUCUAUGUUUCCUAUAGGUCUUAGCCUGUGCUUGUUAGGUUGAGCGUUACUCAGCUAGUUUCUCCAUUAAUCCAGUGCCAUGAAUACACCUUUAUGUUCUAGAAAGUCUUCCACUUCUGGUUCCAGUGUCAGUCUCUGCCUUGUCAUUUCAGUGGGUUUUGAGGAUAAACAUUGAGCUCAGUAAACCAUCUUAACACCUUCCGUACCGCUCACGAGCUUUCUCGUGUUUCGCGCGCCAUCUGUUAUGGACCUUAGAUGUCAACACACUGUCUUGUCCACAUCGAAUGAAGCGAUCUCAUUGGUGGAAACUGUGCAGGUCAAUCUACGAAAAACUAUAUAAUUGCACGAACCCAUAAAGCAUUGCAGUUACAUUGUAUUUUGGUCAUUCGAAUAGUCUUCGUCUUCAAGUUCCUGGCGCUUUUAGAAAAUGUUUUAUGCAGUACUAUACGUUAAAAAAGUACUAGGAACUUUAAUUGUUUAAUUCUUUAAUUGUUUUUGUAAAUAAAAAUGUUAAAAUUAUUGAAAAACACCUAAAGUGCAUUAUGAUCUGUAGUUAUGAUGAUUUAAAUAACGU